GGUGGUAGCUUGGUGGUAGAGCACUUGACUAGCGUGAGAAGCUCUGGGUUUGAGUCCCAGCACCACCA
RNAcentral lists this transfer RNA (68 nucleotides) under Ictidomys tridecemlineatus (thirteen-lined ground squirrel). RNAcentral's name for it is "Spermophilus tridecemlineatus (thirteen-lined ground squirrel) tRNA". It matches the Rfam family "tRNA". Rfam says of the family: Transfer RNA (tRNA) molecules are approximately 80 nucleotides in length. Lineage: Eukaryota; Metazoa; Chordata; Mammalia; Rodentia; Sciuridae. The record is from Rfam by way of RNAcentral.